RNAcentral lists this ribosomal RNA (256 nucleotides) under uncultured bacterium. Its description in RNAcentral is "partial 16S ribosomal RNA". It matches the Rfam family "Bacterial small subunit ribosomal RNA", at positions 524 to 776 of the family's 1533-position model. The record is from RNAcentral.
GACAGAGGGUGCAAACGUUGUUCGGAAUUACUGGGCGUAAAGCGCGUGUAGGCGGCCCUGCAAGUCGGGUGUGAAAUCCCACGGCUCAACCGUGGAAGUGCACUCGAAACUGCAGGGCUAGAGUCCUGGAGAGGAAGGUGGAAUGCUUGGUGUAGAGGUGAAAUUCGUAGAUAUCAAGCGGAACACCGGUGGCGAAGGCGGCCUUCUGGACAGUGACUGACGCUGAGACGGCGAAAAGCGGUGGGGAGCAAACAGG